Molecule: unclassified non-coding RNA, 1237 nt
Filed under: Hevea brasiliensis (rubber tree)
Lineage: Eukaryota; Viridiplantae; Streptophyta; Magnoliopsida; Malpighiales; Euphorbiaceae
Source: RNAcentral
GUUGGGGAGAUUCUCUUUGCAGUUUUCAUAUGCAUUGCUGGAUUGGUUUUAUUUUCGCUGCUUAUCGGCAAUAUGCAGAAAUGUCUGCAAUCCACAACUGUUAGAAUAGAGGAAAUGAGAGUGAAAAGGCGAGAUGCACAGCUGUGGAUGGCCCAUCGUAUGCUUCCUGAAAACCUUAGAGAGCGGAUAAGGAGGUAUGAGCAAUACAAAUGGCAGGAAACCAGAGGUGUGGAGGAGCGGACUUUAAUCCGUACUCUACCAAAAGAUCUCCGAAGGGAGAUAAAUCGUCAUCUUUGCUUCGAUCUAAUCAUGAGAGUGCCAAUGUUUGGAAAAAUGGAUGAGCAAAUACUGGAUGCAAUAUGCGACCGUCUCAAGCCAACCCUUUACAUAAAGGAUAGUUACGUUGUUCGCGAGGGGGAUCCAGUUGAUGAGAUGCUGUUUAUCAUGCGAGGUGAUCUAGUGAGUGCGACGACGAAUGGUGGGCGAACUGGCUUUUUCAAUGCUGUUUAUCUCAAGGGUGGAGACUUCUGUGGAGAAGCUCUUCUUACAUGGGCCUUGGAUCCCCAUCCUUCCUCCCAUCUCCCCAUCUCAACUAGAACUGUACAAGCUUUAACAGAGGUUGAAGCCUUUGCUUUGGUGGCUGAAGACCUGAAAUCUGUUGCGUCUCAGUUUCGCCGUCUUCACCACAAGGAUAUCCAGCACACAUUCAGGUUCUUCUCGGUGCAGUGGAAGACAUGGGCAGCAUGCUUCAUUCAAGCAGCCUGGCGUCGUUACUGUCGGAGGAAGCAAGCAAACAGUCUACGCCAAGCAGAAGACAGAUUGCAAGACGCUUUGGCAAAUGAGGCUGCAACUACUCCUAGCCUUGGUGCAGCAAUCUACGCAUCAAAAUUUGCUGCCAANCAAUUUGCUGCCAAUGCAUUAAGAAGUCUGAGGCAAAAUGGGGGACGCACCUCUAGAUUGCCACAGAGAUUAGCAUUGGUACCUGAGAAGCCAGCUGAGCCUGAUUUUUCUACUCCCCUUCACUAGAGACUUGAAUACUUUAAGUGAGCUUAUACUAGUUUUGACUCAUAUUUUGCAAGCUCAAAUGCAAAUGUACAUUAAGCAUGAUAAUAUCAUGGUUGUAAGCUUACAUUCAAUGUUUUCCACAGGCUUGAUUACAUAUUUUUUUNNNNNNNNGGCUUUUCAGGCUGAGCAGACUGUUGACGAAUAGAACAAUUUUUUUUUUUUUUAAAUUAGC